This 59-nucleotide microRNA precursor is filed under the name Cavia porcellus (domestic guinea pig). Its description in RNAcentral is "microRNA cpo-mir-660 precursor". Its record names the gene cpo-mir-660. The record is from miRBase by way of RNAcentral. Lineage: Eukaryota; Metazoa; Chordata; Mammalia; Rodentia; Caviidae.
UACCCAUUGCAUAUCGGAGUUGUGAAUUCUUAAAAUAUCUCCUGUAUGCAUGGAUUAUA